RNAcentral lists this ribosomal RNA (338 nucleotides) under uncultured bacterium. Its description in RNAcentral is "bacterial SSU rRNA". It matches the Rfam family "Bacterial small subunit ribosomal RNA", at positions 29 to 359 of the family's 1533-position model. The record is from RNAcentral.
AACGAACGCUGGCGGCGCGCCUAAUACAUGCAAGUCGAGCGAGAAGACGUAGCAAUACGUUUGUAAAGCGGCGAACGGGUGAGGAAUACAUGGGUAACCUACCCUCGAGUGGGGAAUAACUAGCCGAAAGGUUAGCUAAUACCGCGUACGCUCCUUGGACUUCGGUUCAGGGAGGAAAGCGAUACCGUGGGUAUCGCGCUCUUGGAUGGGCUCAUGUCCUAUCAGCUUGUUGGUGAGGAACGGCUCACCAAGGCUUCGACGGGUAGCUGGUCUGAGAGGACGAUCAGCCACACUGGCACUGCGACACGGGCCAGACUCCUACGGGAGCAGCAGUAAGG